Molecule: long non-coding RNA, 290 nt
Filed under: Phoenix dactylifera (date palm)
Lineage: Eukaryota; Viridiplantae; Streptophyta; Magnoliopsida; Arecales; Arecaceae
Description: long non-coding RNA (PDAC_LNC004034)
Source: RNAcentral
GAGCCCGGAAAACAAUCCAAUUGUAAUCUGCGGGAUUAUAGUGAAUUUCCAAGGGGAUGCUUGGGGAGUGGACGUAGGUGCUUAGGAGAGCACCGAACCACUAUACUUCUUGUGUGUUUGUAUUGUGUAUUGUUCUAACUUCACUACACGCACUCAAUUAAUAUUAACUAAACCACUCACUCAUCAAUUGACUUAAUUAAAGGAUUAAAAAUUUAGAAAAACUAAUUCACCCCCCCUCUUGGCUUGUCAUCUUGGGCAACAAGUGGUAUCAGAGCUAGGUGCUCUCAUAG